AGACGGGUGAGUAAUACAUAGGUAAUCUACCUUCGAGAUUGGGAUAACCCUGCGAAAGUGGGGCUAAUACCGGAUAAGACCACACGGCUCAAGUCGCGUGGUAGAAGGUGUGCUUGUUUUUUAAAUGAGCUAUCACUUGAGGAUGAGCCUAUGGCCUAUCAGCUUGUUGGUGAGGUAAGAGCUCACCAAGGCUAUGACGGGUAGCUGGUCUGAGAGGACGAACAGUCACACUGGGACUGAGACACGGCCCAGACUCCUACGGGAGGCAGCAGUGGGGAAUAUUGGGCAAUGGGCGAAAGCCUGACCCAGCGACGCCGCGUGGGCGAUGAAGGCCUUCGGGUUGUAAAGCCCUGUCAUGUGGAAAGAACAGUCCUGUGGUGAAUAUCCACGGGAUUUGACGGUACCACAGGAGGAAGCACCGGCUAAC
Molecule: ribosomal RNA, 427 nt
Filed under: uncultured Syntrophorhabdus sp.
Lineage: Bacteria; Pseudomonadati; Thermodesulfobacteriota; Syntrophorhabdia; Syntrophorhabdales; Syntrophorhabdaceae
Description: bacterial SSU rRNA
Rfam family: Bacterial small subunit ribosomal RNA
Source: RNAcentral